Molecule: ribosomal RNA, 328 nt
Filed under: Epiperipatus sp. 5 GL-2011
Lineage: Eukaryota; Metazoa; Onychophora; Udeonychophora; Euonychophora; Peripatidae
Description: partial 12S ribosomal RNA
Source: RNAcentral
CGGGCGAUGUGUACAUAUUAAUGGUAGUUUUCAAAUAAACAUAAUAAUUAAAUUUUACUAACAAAUUCUAUUUUUAAAAAUAUUUCAAUAUUUAUAAAUUUUUAAUAAUGUAAUUCAUUUCAACUAAAUUAAAUUGCACCUUGACCUGAUAAUUUAAGAAAAUUAUUGUAAUUUUUUUAAUAAUUACUUACGGUGGUAUACAAAUAUAAAUUAAGUAAGAUUUAUCGUGUAUUUUCGAUUAAGAAACAAAUUCCUUUGUAAAAGUUAAUACCGUCAAAUUUACUAUUUUAUUUUUUCUUGAAAUAUUAUAUACUAAAAUAGAAUAAUA